Molecule: ribosomal RNA, 647 nt
Filed under: uncultured Acinetobacter sp.
Lineage: Bacteria; Pseudomonadati; Pseudomonadota; Gammaproteobacteria; Moraxellales; Moraxellaceae
Description: bacterial SSU rRNA
Rfam family: Bacterial small subunit ribosomal RNA
Source: RNAcentral
GGAAGGUAGCUUGCCCCACCGUAAGUUAACGGCGGACGGGUGAGUAUGCUUAGGAAUCUCGCCUAUUACUGGGGGACAACGUUUCGAAAGGAACGCUAAUACCGCAUACGUCCUACGGGAGAAAGCAGGGGAUCAUUUGACCUUGUGCUAAUAGAUGAGCCUAAGUCGGAUUAGCUAGUUGGUGGGGUAAAGGCCUACCAAGGCGACGAUCUGUAGCGGGUCUGAGAGGAUGAUCCGCCACACUGGGACUGAGACACGGCCAGACUCCUACGGGAGGCAGCAGUGGGGAAUAUUGGACAAUGGGCGCAAGCCUGAUCCAGCCAUGCCGCGUGUGUGAAGAAGGCCUUAUGGUUGUACAAGCACUUUAAUGCGAGGAGGAGGAGCUUCAGGUUAAUACCCUGGAUGCUUGGACGUUACUCGACAGAAUAAGCACCGGCUAACUCUGUGACCAGCAGACACGACGGUAAUACAGAGCGGUGCAAUGCGUCCACUCGGAUUUACUGGGCGUAAAGCAGUGCAGUAGGCAGGCAUAAAUAUAAGUCCAAAUGUGAAACAUCCCCCCGAAGCCUUAAACUUUGGCGACCUUCGCAUUCCGAAUAACUGGGAUUAAGCAUAAAAGUACUGGGACAGAGAGAUGGUACGAAAAU